Molecule: unclassified non-coding RNA, 150 nt
Filed under: uncultured Toxicocladosporium
Lineage: Eukaryota; Fungi; Ascomycota; Dothideomycetes; Capnodiales
Description: sequence contains ITS2
Source: RNAcentral
CACCACUCAAGCCUCGCUUGGUAUUGGGCGACGCGGUCCGCCGCGCGCCUCAAAUCGACCGGCUGGGUCGAUCGCACCCUCAGCGUUGUGGAAACUAUUCGCUAAAGGGAUUGUCGGUCGGUCACGCCGUGAAACAAACCAAUUUUCAAU